GAGGAAUGUAUAGCAAUAGCUAGUUGCAUCAUAGUAGAUAUGAUGCAAGAUCGACUAUGUUGAAUAAAAUUCUAGGUAGAAUUAUGAUAAUGACAUUGUCUGCCUAUGUGUCUUGACCAAAUUACGUGCCAGCAGUCGCGGUAAUACGUAGAAGACUAGUGUUAUUCAUGUUUAAUCGGUUUAAAGGGUACCUAGACGGUAGAUCAAGCUUUCUAAUAAAGGAAAAGGACUAGUUUACUAGAGUUACUUAUGAGGGGGUAUUAAAGUACUGCUGGUGUAGAGAUGAAAUUCUGUCAUACCUCUUUUCAAAAGAAAAACCAUGGCACAGGUAUAGGCGAAGGCAUCCCCUUAUGUGAUAACUGACGUUGAGGGACGAAGGCUUUGUGUAGCGAACAGGAUUAGAUACCCCAGUAGUCGAAGCAGAAAAUGAUGAAUGUCAUAGAUUAGAUAUAUAAGUUUAUUCUAUAAAUGAAAGUGUAAGCAUUCCACCUCAUGAGUAAUUUGGCAACAUUGGAACUGAAAUCAUUAGACCGUUUCUGAAACCAGUAGUGAAGUAUGUUGUUUAAUUUGAUGUCCCGCAAAAAACCUUACCACAAUUUGAAUAUUUAUAUUGUUUAUUGUUUUAUUAUUAAUUUUCUUGAAGAAAAUUAAGAAACAAGCAAUAAGAUAUAAUUACAAGCGUUGCACGGCUGUCUUCAGUUAAUGUCGCGAGACUUUGGUUAGUUCCAUUAAAUUAACGUAAACCCUUACUUUAUUUUUAUAUAGAGUAGUUCCCCGCUAUAUUGGAUAU
This 790-nucleotide ribosomal RNA is filed under the name Xanthoparmelia conspersa. RNAcentral's name for it is "SSU rRNA". It matches the Rfam family "Bacterial small subunit ribosomal RNA", at positions 407 to 1164 of the family's 1533-position model. Lineage: Eukaryota; Fungi; Ascomycota; Lecanoromycetes; Lecanorales; Parmeliaceae. The record is from RNAcentral.